Molecule: long non-coding RNA, 2922 nt
Organism: Oncorhynchus tshawytscha (Chinook salmon)
Lineage: Eukaryota; Metazoa; Chordata; Actinopteri; Salmoniformes; Salmonidae
Exons: 3
Source: RefSeq, a predicted model, not a curated record
CUCCUGUUGUCACCUGUCUUUUCCCCGUGCCCGCCAGAGACCAGGUAACUCUCCUGUUGUCACCUGUCUUUUCCCCGUGCCCGCUAGAGACCAGGUAACUCUCCUGUUGUCACCUGUCUGUUCCCCGUGCCCGCUAGAGACCAGGUAACUCUCCUGUUGUCACCUGUCUGUUCCCCGUGCCCGCCAGAGACCAGGUAACUGUCCUGUCCUACUGUUGUCAACUGUCUGUUCCCCGUGCCCGCCAGAGACCAUGUAACAUACUGUUCACUACUGCCCUGUAUGGUUGGCAUGAUACCAGUAUCACAAUAAUACCAUACUUGAUUUUCCAUGGUGAACACAUGAAGCAGACUACUAUUUUCUCCUUUAGGAACCUUUCAUACAAUAUUGUGUAUAGCUUAGAAAAUAAACACAUUUGACUCUGGGUGAUAACAUAAUGCUCUUUGUUUCCAAAAUUAGGAUUGUUUUCCUUUAGAAUUGAAAUCCGCAUCAUGUUUUGUUUCCUUGCUACCAGACUUAUCGCGAUACUGCUACCGUGACAACCCUAUCUCAAACCAUCUCCUAGACCAGUAGUUCCCGAACCGGUCCACCAGUAACCCCAACAAUACACAUUGUUGUUGUAGCCCCAGACAACCAUACAUGAUUACACAGAUCUGUGUGAGAAAGAAUUAUGGGAACCCAACCCAUUGUUGUUCCGUCAUCUACUAAACCCCAAUGUAACUCUGAUACACUGGAUAAUCUGUGUUCUCUUAUCUCUGUACUGUACAGUGUUUAUACAGUAACAGAACAGCAGUUGAUAAUAAUACGGUACCAUCUAACUGCCUUCCAAACCAGCCUGACUGUUUUCACCGUUUGUAGGGGUUUAUUUGCGUUCUGACCAUCAUUAACUAACACAGCUACUGUGGUAAAAGAGGUUUUACGGUCCUCUUAACAGUAGAAAUGCCAGCCCUCGAGCGGUCCCACUCUGAGCCAAUGGCGCGUCUUUUUGAUGUCAACAUUCAAACAGUAUAAAUCUAUUUAAUAUAUGCAUCCCGGAAAAUGUUCCUUUGGUUGUGUUUAUGGUUAGGGUUAGAAUACAAAUGUGUAUAUUUUUUAAAGAACAUAAUAGCAUUUUCAUUAGUAUAUGUUACUGUAGCCUAUUUAUAAAAACAAAAAAAACUACUAACCACACCCAUUAUAAUUUGAUUUUGGCAGGUCUAAAGAAACAUUGAAAUAAGAAAAUGUACUUCAAAAGAACAGAACAUAUGAUGUGUUUUAUUAUGUUACUAGUCUGUGCUUAGUGGCCUGGGUUGUAUGCUGCCACGUGUUCAUGUGUGGAGUGCAUGGACGCGGUUACUCUUGGUAAAAGUGAUUUAUUUUUAAUGUUGAAUUUUUACCCCCUUUUCUCCCCAAUUUCGUGGUAUCCAAUUGUUAGUAGUUACUAUCUUGUCUCAUCGCUACAACUCCCGUAUGGGCUCGGGAGAGACGAAGGUCGAAAAGCCAUGCGUCCCCGAAACACAACCAAGCCGCACUGCUUCUUAGCCGCACCAAUGUGUCGGAGGAAACACCGUGCACCUGGUUAGCGUGCACUGCGCCCGGCCCGCCACAGGAGUAGGUAUGGAAUGAUUGUUAAUUUCCAAUACAAUCUCUUAGUCGUGGUCAUUUAUGGUGCACAGAUCAUGUAAUAAUGUUCUGCCUCCCCGACCAUCCGACUGACUAAAAUGGGCCCGUGGCUGAAUCUAGUUGCCUACGUCUGCUGUAGGGGGAUUUUAAAAAGACACUUUUUGUUGCUCCGUUUCCCUGCCUCUGUAUCAAGUCCAAGCUGCACUAGUCCAUCUCUUCAUAUACAAUUUGACGAUUGUUAAUAUUGUCACCCAUCAGACUAUUGUCAACUUAAUCUUGUGUUUAGGCUAACUCUAUUAUUAUGUGUCAAAUGUAUUUCAAUGUAGUUUAGCUGUAGUUUAGAUGGGCCAUCAGCUGUGCUGUGUUAAAUAUACUUAUUUAGGAAAAGUCAAUGGCCAGGUCAUUUCAAAGUGUUAAUGAGUUUUGUGUCAACAUGACGCUUUCAGUGCUUCUAGUGAUCACUGCCUUUUUACAGGAGCACUGCCUGUUUGCCCCCCCCACCUCCCCUUCACCCCCCUCUCCCUAGACCCUCAGCCCUUUGAAGUGUCCUGUGGCUGGGGUAGUCCAGGUGUUGAGGCUGACCUAGUGGAGCCUGCUGUCUGUCUGGGGAUAAGGAGCUAAAGGCGCUCUCACAUUAUACCUGCAAGGCACUUUGAUUUGCUUGCCUCGAAGAAGGGGCGCAGAAGUGUUGGAUAGUUCCAUUUGUUUGAACUUUGACAGAAGCAACAGCCCCAAAGUACCGUAGCUCUAUGUAACAUAUUUCUGACACGUCGGCUGUUCAGGGUGUUACACUGCAGACGUGGAGCCCCCUUUGAUCUUUCCCUCCUUCCCAGAAACCCAUCCUCCACUGAAGUCAGCUGUACAGGUAGAACAGUCCUGCUGUAGGACAACAGUAGAACAACCGCUGGUAGUUGCUAGGGGGACUGCGAGGUCGUGGGAGGAACAACUCUGGGGAAAACAUUCUACAGUGACACUUAGCCUCUGACCUGGUUGUAUGACAUGUAAAUAUGUGUUGGGAAUGACGAACGCUAUCAAACGCAUAUUUACACUUAAAUUAGAAGACCGUACAGUAGAUUGAUUUACUGGUUGUAAUAUUUACUGCAGCAGUGCAGUCUUUUUACUGCCCCGCUCUCUAUUUUAACUUAGUAAACAAGAAUGUUUUCACCUCCGUUCAUGCUUUUCAUCUAGUCUUCAGUCUUUAUCAAGGUUGGGAUGUGUUGUUGAUAUCUUUACUAUCUCUGUCUCUCUCUCCCUCUCCACGUCCCUUCAACCACUCUCCAUUCUGUUUACACCCCCCCAACCUGACAUUCUGGUCUCCUCCCA